Molecule: long non-coding RNA, 773 nt
Organism: Fundulus heteroclitus (mummichog)
Lineage: Eukaryota; Metazoa; Chordata; Actinopteri; Cyprinodontiformes; Fundulidae
Exons: 4
Source: RefSeq, a predicted model, not a curated record
AGCAUGUCUAAAAUUCUGGUUCAACAAGAUAAUAUGUUAGUAAAACUAGUUGUUGUUUUUUUUUAAAUAAAUUUUCUUCCAACAAGCACAUUUGCCAGUAGAACUAAACAUUCGUACAGGUCUUAAACGCAUCUCAAGAAAUGUAUCAAAAGUCACUUGCAGCAGGAGCACGCAGAAACAGGAGCCAGGUCAAGAAACAAGUCUUGUAAUUGGAGAUAACAGCAUUUUCCGAAAUCUUGGGAAACAUCAUAGAAGAUAAUGAUCAGCAAAACAAAGGAAGGAUGAGGGAAGGAAAGGAACUUGAUGCAGUGACCCUAAGAUCUCCAAGUGAGAACCAAGGAGAACCAUCAAAGCAGUCUAAGCAGGCAGGAAAAACUGGCAAAGAUCAGGAUGUGAAUAGACCAGCUAUUGAACCUACAUCUCAUCGACGGCUUUGGAGUAAGGCCGAAAAGGCAGCAGUAUGGCAACAGCUUUGCCAAUAUGUAACCUUAGAGAGUUCCUGGUAAAGAACCAUGUCUUGAGGCACUUAAAGUUGAGCCUGCACUGAGAAGCCAAACUUGGAAAGACAUAAAAAACAAGUUUACAAUACUAUUACUGUUCAAAAGCCGAAAAAACAUUCUACAUUAGAUAUGGUCAAUCUUACAUUGUUUGGUUAAAACUGCAAAAGAAGUUGUAAGCAGUGCAUAUUUGGCAAUGGUCCUUUGCCUAGUGUUUGGACAGCAGCAAAAAUAUGUAAUUUUGUUCCAUAAACAAAUAAAAUAGUUUGCAUUCGG